AAAAUGACUCUCGGCAACGGAUAUCUCGGCUCUCGCAUCGAUGAAGAACGCAGCAAAAUGCGAUACUUGGUGUGAAUUGCAGAAUCCCGUGAACCAUCGAGUCUUUGAACGCAAGUUGCGCCCAAAGCCUUCGGGUUGAGGGCACGUCUGCCUGGGUGUCACGC
Molecule: ribosomal RNA, 164 nt
Filed under: Dendrophyllanthus serpentinus
Lineage: Eukaryota; Viridiplantae; Streptophyta; Magnoliopsida; Malpighiales; Phyllanthaceae
Description: Phyllanthus serpentinus 5.8S ribosomal RNA
Rfam family: 5.8S ribosomal RNA
About the family: 5.8S ribosomal RNA (5.8S rRNA) is a component of the large subunit of the eukaryotic ribosome. It is transcribed by RNA polymerase I as part of the 45S precursor that also contains 18S and 28S rRNA. Functionally, it is thought that 5.8S rRNA may be involved in ribosome translocation.
Source: RNAcentral